UUAAUGUUACUCGACACCGGAAACCUCAACCGACCUGGACACUGAAAGGAUUGCCAGAUCAAUAGCUCUUUCUCGAUUCUGUGGGUGGUGGUGCAUGGCCAUUCUUAGUUGGUAGAGCAAUUUGGCUGGUUAAUUCCGAUAAUGAACGAGACUUGGCAUGCUAACUAGUUAUGUGACCCCGAACGGUCAGAGUC
RNAcentral lists this non-coding RNA (194 nucleotides) under Anolis carolinensis (green anole). RNAcentral's name for it is "Eukaryotic small subunit ribosomal RNA". It matches the Rfam family "Eukaryotic small subunit ribosomal RNA", at positions 1190 to 1384 of the family's 1831-position model. Lineage: Eukaryota; Metazoa; Chordata; Lepidosauria; Squamata; Anolidae. The record is from Rfam by way of RNAcentral.